This is a long non-coding RNA of Episyrphus balteatus (marmalade hoverfly), 4108 nucleotides long. RefSeq lists it as uncharacterized. NCBI's taxonomy places the organism in Eukaryota, Metazoa, Arthropoda, Insecta, Diptera, Syrphidae. The transcript is spliced from 2 exons. The record is from RefSeq and is a predicted model, not a curated record.
CUUUGAUUUGUAUACAUUAUUUGAAAGGUAAUAAAAUUACCUUUCUUUGGAUACCAAAUAAUUAAACAUUGGUCUUAUUCUUCUCCUGGAAAAUGCAUUCUUAACACACGGUAAUAUAUCUAUAACUUAUACGAUUAAAAAAAUCAUAAUUUAUAUGCAGAAGCUUUCAGGCUUGAUUCCACACCAGUCUCAUGGCUUUAAGCCUUUAUCCCAAUUCCCAUAUAAUUUGGCAUAACUACUUUUUGUGGAAAAUAUUCAACUUUUGGAGUGAUUAAUUUCAAAAAGUUUUGAUCUACAGAGCUGUGGUUGUUUUAAACAUUUUCCAUAAUAGGCACUAUUUACAUUUUGAAAGCUAAAAACUGAAAAAAGUCCGAAAAUUUCGCGGUUUUUCGCGCACCGCGGUAUCAUCACAGGUCUUUCAAAGGUGCAAGCUUGGUUUUUAACUGCCGUUGUCUAUGCUAACAACAUCCCAAAAAAUCAGUGCAUGCUAAUUUUUGCAGAGGUAUAAUUCUGUCGUUUCUUGACAAAAAAAAAUAAAAGUUGCAUAUUACCAAAGCAUUUUACCUCUACUUUUUUUUAUUAGUACAAUUUUGUAACUUUUAUUUUCAUUGAUUUUAGGUUAAAAUUUUAGUCAAAACUAAUUUUCAUAUUUUUUUAACAACCUUUUAAUUUAAUAGGCUAUGAAAAGUGUCUUGGAAUCAUUUUAAAGGUUUGGUUUUCGAGUUAAAUAAAAAAAACUGAAAACCGACCAGUGUUGCCGUUUUCUAAGAAAUGCACCAAUGGAUUUAGUAGCUGUUUUGGCUCAAGUACACUUUUAUGCCUAGGAAUCAUACUCAGCAAUAAAAACUCUUGAAUGAAUUUGUUUCAUUACAAUCGAUUUGUUUUUUACAAUCGAUAUUAAAAACGUCGAGUGCGCAUCGGAGAGUUAAAAAGUUUGAACCCACAAAUCUGUACUUUUUGGAUCUUUUCUGUUCUUUUCUGUGCGAGUCAGAUUCAUCAAACAGACCAAAUAUACACUAUAUUUUCUUUUUCAACGUCCUCAGUGGAAAUACUUUCUUCAUUAACUUAACUUGAUUUGGGGUCACUUUUUUUUGUUGUUGUAAAGAUCUCAGCUUUGGAUGAAUACCUUUCCAAUUCACCAUCUCUAAUUCAUGAACUGUUUUUGAAUUCACAAUGUAUACCUAUAGCUUUUUCGAAAUUUGGGUCCGUUUCACCUUCAGUUUGCAAAAAUCAAAAUUUUUCUUCGGCUUCUGGUUUCCGCUUUGUAGUUUGCCACUUCCAUAGCAGGAUGCAGGAGGCUACAGAUUGGCUUUUCAAAUUUGUUUCAUCCUUGUUUAGCGAUUGCUUAACUUAAACGCCAUUCACCGCGUUUAGAGAUUGUUUAUGGCCAUUUAAAAAGAUUGACAUAUUGAAAAAAUAUAUUCUGUCAUUUUAAUUUGACGUUAAAUCGUAUAAACGUAUAAGCAGAGAUGUUUGUGUAUAACCAAUAGAGCUGUAGCAAAUCGUAUGUAUUCGUUACUAAAAUGCGGGUAUUUGCUUCAGAAAAGAGUAACGAAACGUUACUUUCUAAAUAGUAUCGUUAUUCGUAUGUUUCGUUACUGGGUACUGAAGUAACGAAACAUACGAGAUACGAAAAACACGAGUAACGACCCCAUUCCAAUUUCAAUACUAAAUCAUCGAAGUGAUACACUCAAUUCGUCGAAUUUAGCAUCUCGUAUCGAUAUCGUUACCUAAGUCGGAAUGCUAACUACAGAUAAUUAUCUGGAGUUUACUUUUGUCUCGUUAAAAACAGUAGAGCAAAAGUAUCGUUUUGUUAUCGAUAAUACAUAAUUUAUACAGAAAUAUCAAAAGAGACGUUUUUGGUACUUUCUCUAUGCAGCCGAAAUAUACCCAUGCCGCAACUAAUGUGUUUAUGACCUUAGCUGCGUUCCUUUGGAAAUAUUUAUCUACUUUUUAGUACUUAAAACCACAGAACACAUAAAAAGGUAAUAUAUUCCGGAAUGACAUUGGUCGCCAGAUUGUCAAAACAUGACACUUUGGCGACCAAUGUCAGCUACCGAAUUCUUAAUUGUUUAAAAUACCGACGAAAAACGCACAAAAACCGAUAAACCACACACACCACCAAUUUUUAAACAAUUAUUUACCAUUUCCCGCGAUGAAACACGAAGAAAAUUUGUUAUUUUUCAAUUUAUAAUAUUUUUAAAUGACAUUUUAUAAAUAAAAACAAAAACAAAUUUCCUGUUUACUGCGAUUGAAAUAUAAAAAUUAAAGGCCUACCUGACAGAUUGGUGCCCAUUUUUGACAAACAAAUUUUGACAACGUUCGGAAUAUAUUACCUUAUUAUGUGUACUGUGCUUAAAACUACUUUGAUCUACUUUGCUAUACUGAAAAAGUAGUUCAAAGCAGCUUUAAGUACUAAAAAGUAGAUAAAUAUUUCCAAAGGAACGCAGCUCUUCUUGUUAAUGGUCUUGAAAUGUAGCUUAUGAAUGUACAAAAGUUUUUUGGCUUUUCAAAAAAUUUAUUUAUUUCCAGUGCAAAAUUUUCAACUAAAAAAAGCGAGAAAACGAGGUUUGAAAAUCACUCUCAAUAGAAAAAAAAAAUGAAAAAUUGUUCGACAUGGUUGUAUUGAAGUGUUAAUAUUCCGGGAUCAGCGCUAUGUCCUUUUGAAAUAAAGGUCUCUAAAGAAUUAUGAUAAGAUUACGGAACGAAUAUAAACAAAAAAUCACCAAAGUUUUGUCGAAAAUUUAGAAAAAAAAUCAAAAAAAGUUUCCAUGUUUGAUUAGAAAAAAACAGUAUAGCUACCUUCAAACUCUUAUAACAUGAGAACGAAGCAACAUAAAUUAAUGUUUAUGGCCUUAAAAUGUAGCUUAGAUUAUAAAAUUGUUUUUUGGUUAAAAAAAAAAAUUUUUACACCCUUAUACCAACGUACGAAACAUACUUAACUCACCAAACAUACGAAACGUAUCAAAUACAUGAAAUAUACGAAAUGUACGAAACAUACGAAGCAUGCGAAAGUAACGAAACAUGCGAAACACACGAAACUACGAAAUAUACGAAAAAUGCGAAACAUACGAAAGUAACGAGUAACGAUAUUAUUGAUGCGGUUACUAGUAUCAAAAGUAACGUAUACAUGCGGGUACUCGUUUUGUCGUUACUUUUACAGCCCUAAUUAACCAAAUAACAUUCAAAGUAAUGGGCCCACAUUACCGAACAGAGAAUCAUAAAUGAAGGAUCCAGGAAAAACGGCCAAUGUCCAUUUUUUAUCAAAAAUAAACUAAUGAUGAGGUAUUGUAGUAUUUACUGAGCACUGUCUGAUGGCAUCCUUACUUUUAGAAAACAAAUUGAAGCCUUGCUAAGGAAAUAAAUAACUGACGUGCCUUUUGUAUUAAGUUGUAAGAAGAAUAAAAUUUUAAAAUGCGUUUUUCUGGAAUGAGUUGGAAUGGACUUGUGCUGUUUUUCCCCUGGAACCUUCACAUGAUUUAAACGUGUUAAAUGUUAUAAGAAACAACACCAGAAGAAGAUCAAAAAAAAUUUACAAAAAUAGAUUCAAUCCUAUGGAACUUGAAGAAAAGUUUUUUAGACAAAAAUAUCAAUUUUCAAAAGCCGCAAUGAUAAAAAUAAUAGACCUCGUACGAUCUGAUCUUGAAGGGUCCAAUAGAGAUUGCCACACUCCUCCUGUUCUGAAAGUGAUGGCUGCGAUAAUGUAUUGGGGCAGAAAUGAGUUGCAAGAUGAUGGAGCUGACAUCCAUGGAUUUAGCCAACCCACGCUAUGUGUGAUCACCAGCGCUUUGCAAAGGCAUUCACGUCAAAAAGACCGCAAUUCGUGAAAAUGCCAACAGGUCAAGAAAAUUGAGGGGUUCAAAUCGAUUAGUGGUCUCCCAAACAUCAUAGGAGUAAUAGACUGCAUCUGCUUCUGCACCUACAUAAGAAUCCCGAAAGUUUGUGACUCAGCUGAUCAGUAUUAUGUUAGUAGACAAGGGUACUAUUCGAUUAAUACAUAGGCGGUUUGUGAUUCUACUCUUAAAAUCCGAGGCAUUGUUUGUCAUUGGCGACCAAGGGCGGACUGGCCCACCGGGCAUUCUGGAAUUUCCCGGUAGGCCCUCGGGCA